AGCGAAAAACAUAAGACUUUCAAAAAAAAAUUGGUCUUAACCAGCAAAACCAACUAACUAACAUAACACACUUUAUUUUUGCAUUCUCGGCGCUCAAUGGCCGAUUCCGAGAAAUUAACGGCGUUAAAGAAGGCGUACGCCGAUAUAAUACUGAACACGGCGAAAGAAGCGGCGGCGAGGAUAAUGGCGUCGGAGAGGAAAGCGCAGCGGUAUCAACGGGAACUAUUCGCGGCGAAAGAUGAGGCGUUGCGUAUGCUUAUUAGACUCAAACAGAUGAUGGAUUCUAAGGUUAAUGAAACAGAAAUGACAGCCUUGAGUCAACAAAGAAGGAUUGAAGAGCUAGAAGCACAACUCGGGGAAGCUGAGGAUAUAGUAAAAGACCUUAGAUCAGAUUUAAGAGAAUUGCAGGAUGAAUUAGAGAAUGCGAAAAACAGUCAGAUUCAGCCUUUGGAUAAACAAAAUUCAGAGGAUGAAAAUACGGUUAUACCUGCAUUGGAGGAAAAUAGAAUUGGUACUUCUACGGAUGUAAUAUCUUCUCUGCCUACGCCACAAUGUGAUCAAGUUAUACUUCUCGAGACAACGAAGUCCACUUCAAAUGGGACAUGUGAUGGCAGCAAGUGCUACAGUGCAAGUGAUUGCCGAGAAGACAAUUGUGUUGUUUGCAAUCCUGAUUUUGCCUCCAUAGUGAUGAGAACCAAAGAGCCUGAGCUGUAUAGGAAUGGAUGCACUCAAAGAAUUCGUGCUUUGGAAAGGAGUCUAUUAGGCGGAAAUCUGUCUGUUUCUGGGCAAGUCGAUGGUGUAAAAAAUCAGUUAUUUAUAAUAGCAGAUGAAGAAGAUAAGGAUAUAUGUAAACAACUCAACGGCAAGGUAGAUACUAUUUGUAAUGUGGAGAAAAUUCCUAAUACAGUCAAGGGUGAAACUGUAAGUAAAAAGAGGAGAAAGUAUGUGUCUCUUUCUGGAGAUCAGAUGUUUAUUACAGAAGAAGAAGAAGAAGAUGAUGAUGAUGAACAUAAAGGUGCUAACCUGGCUGUCGAGGCUGACAAUAGUUGUGAUGCAAGAGAUUCAUAUGCAGUGGAGGAUAAUGGAGGAGGUACCCCUAGAAGUGUAAGACAAAAAAGAGCUGCUAGAUACAAUAGACAUAGAGGAUAUGAAAGUCAUGUUCAUGACGCUUUACAUAAGAAUUAUCAAACUGGAAAAGCUUCUACAAUAAUUGAUAGUAUAUCUUUGGAGGAUCCUCAGCCACUUAUGGUACCAAUAUCACCUUCUAAUACUACUGAAAAUAAUAUACAAUCAGGAUCUUUGGAAGUUAAUGAAAGUGAGGCAGAAACUGGCAGAACUUGCUUAGUGCAGACUAGAACAAGCAAUGAUAGGUUGCCAAUAGAUGAAGUGGAGCUGGCUGAAUGUGAUGCUGAAUCUGCUGAGUGUUCCGAAUUUUCAGCUAGCAGAGCAGAUUUGCAUGUAGCCAGUGCGUCGCCGUCAAACUCAGAUCUAAAAGAACCUGAUUCCGCUGAUGCAGUUUCUGCUAACCCUCAGCCGUUGUACAAAUACACAUUCCAAAGGAAGAGGAAGAAGGAAUCUCUGGGCAGUCCAGACGGCGGUACAUCUCUUGAUAAUCAGACUUUGAAGAGAGAUAUGGGGGACAAACAAUGUGGUAUUUUAGACAAGUCAGGCUUGAUGGCUGAAUCAUCUAGAGACGGUCGAAGGUUGGCACAGGUUGCUCGUCAGGUUAUAAGUUGGGUUUACACCUGUUAUUGGUGCGUGUAUGCUCAUCUUCGAAACUACCUCUUGCUGCCAGCCCCUUGCUUAAUGCUUGGUCUAUCUUGAAGAAGGGUUUAAAUGUGUUUAUCCCUCUUGUAUCUCUACCUAAGGCACAACUAUAUGGCUUAUAUCUAUGUCUGGAAAGCAAUGGCAGUAGAGUUGGUUUUAGUUCACGUGGUUGUCGAAUAUGGUUCAUUGCAGCUGUGCGACGUUGAGGACGAAAAUGGCAAUUGAUAGAUCAAGAGCUGAGCUGAGCUGGCUUUACAUUUCUUGCAAUGUUCAAUAAUGUUUUGGGCAUUGUUAUAUAUUAUCUAGAGUAUAUGCAUUAUUGUGUUUCUUUUUAAUCAUCAUCCAUCUUUAUAUGAUUAUAUAGAAAUAAAUAUUGAGGUUGUUAACAUUACAGGUAUUAGAUGAGUUUUAGUUGAUUAAUUACAACAUAAUUUUGUCUUUUCUCUU
Mercurialis annua (annual mercury) is the source of this 2214-nucleotide RNA transcript. RefSeq lists it as uncharacterized. The transcript has 5 exons. Lineage: Eukaryota; Viridiplantae; Streptophyta; Magnoliopsida; Malpighiales; Euphorbiaceae. The record is from RefSeq and is a predicted model, not a curated record.